UCGAACUGUAGAGUUUGAUCCUGGCUCAGAUUGAACGCUGGCGGCAUGCCUUACACAUGCAAGUCGAAC
Molecule: ribosomal RNA, 69 nt
Filed under: Roseateles sp. YR242
Lineage: Bacteria; Pseudomonadati; Pseudomonadota; Betaproteobacteria; Burkholderiales; Sphaerotilaceae
Description: 16S rRNA. Bacterial SSU
Rfam family: Bacterial small subunit ribosomal RNA
Source: RNAcentral